This 426-nucleotide long non-coding RNA is filed under the name Apteryx rowi (Okarito brown kiwi). RNAcentral describes it as "lncRNA (ENSARWG00000007684.1)". Lineage: Eukaryota; Metazoa; Chordata; Aves; Apterygiformes; Apterygidae. The record is from RNAcentral.
UGUGCUCCCAUGAAAUUGAAUUCACUGCGAGGUGUACCGAAACACCACACAGCCUUCAGGCCCCAUUUAAAUCUGCCAAAAAAAGCGUGGAAAGGAUGUUUGGAUCGCUUUGUAUUGCCUCAUUCGUGCCUGCCAUUGUGCCAGCUCUCUCCUGAACCCAGGCUCCCUGUCCUGAAGUUGCAACAUGUUCUAUACAGAUUCACCCAUUACAGCUCCAUGACUGCUAUAAGAGGAGGUUUUCAAAAAUUAUGGCCAAGACAGGCAGCCCACCCUACUCCUUCGGACAUCUGGGAUGAUUUGAAAAGUUUGGAGCAUGGGAAGGGCAGGAGCCCUCCUCGGGAGAGGACRGACCUCCUGCUUUGCCAGCCGACACCGCUGGAGAGACAGCACGGAGAGAAGCUGACACCACCUCGCAGUUUGUCCUAG